AUUGAACGCUGGCGGCAGGCCUAACACAUGCAAGUCGAACGAGUGGCGGACGGGUGAGUAAUGUCUGGGAAACUGCCUGAUGGAGGGGGAUAACUACUAGAAACGGUAGCUAAUACCGCAUACCAUCGGAUGUGCCCAGAUGGGAUUAGCUAGUAGGUGGGGUAAAGCCUCACCUAGGCGACCAUCCCUAGCUGGGCUGACAGGAUGACCAGCCAAACUGGAAAUGAGACACGGUCCAGACUCCUACGGGAGGAAGCAGUGGGGAAUAUUGCACAAUGGGCGCAAGCCUUAUGCAGCCAUGCCGCGUGUAUGAAGAAGGCCUUCGGGUUGUAAAGUACUUUCAGCGGGGAGGCGUUACCAACUGAAUAAGCACCGGCUAACUUCGUGCCAGCAGCCGCGGUAAUAC
This 406-nucleotide ribosomal RNA is filed under the name uncultured bacterium. RNAcentral's name for it is "partial 16S ribosomal RNA". It matches the Rfam family "Bacterial small subunit ribosomal RNA", at positions 30 to 526 of the family's 1533-position model. The record is from RNAcentral.